Molecule: ribosomal RNA, 700 nt
Filed under: uncultured beta proteobacterium
Lineage: Bacteria; Pseudomonadati; Pseudomonadota; Betaproteobacteria
Description: bacterial SSU rRNA
Rfam family: Bacterial small subunit ribosomal RNA
Source: RNAcentral
UUGCACCUGGUGGCGAGUGGCGAACGGGUGAGUAAUACAUCGGAACGUACCUUAUCGUGGGGGAUAACGCAGCGAAAGCUGUGCUAAUACCGCAUACGCCCUGAGGGGGAAAGCGGGGGAUCGAAAGACCUCGCGCGAUUAGAGCGGCCGAUGCCUGAUUAGCUUGUUGGUGGGGUAAAAGCCCACCAAGGCGACGAUCAGUAGCUGGUCUGAGAGGACGAUCAGCCACACUGGGACUGAGACACGGCCCAGACUCCUACGGGAGGCAGCAGUGGGGAAUUUUGGACAAUGGGGGAAACCCUGAUCCAGCAAUGCCGCGUGAGUGAAGAAGGCCUUCGGGUUGUAAAGCUCUUUUGUCAGGGAAGAAACACCGGCUCUAACACAGUCCGGGAAUGACGGUACCUGAAGAAUAAGCACCGGCUAACUACGUGCCAGCAGCCGCGGUAAUACGUAGGGUGCGAGCGUUAAUCGGAAUUACUGGGCGUAAAGCGUGCGCAGGCGGUUAUACAAGACAGGCGUGAAAUCCCCGGGCUUAACCUGGGAAUGGCGCCUGUGACUGUAUAGCUAGAGUGUGUCAGAGGGGGGUAGAAUUCCACGUGUAGCAGUGAAAUGCGUAGAUAUGUGGAGGAAUACCAAUGGCGAAGGCAGCCCCCUGGGAUAACACUGACGCUCAUGCACGAAAGCGUGGGGAGCAAACAGG